Molecule: ribosomal RNA, 542 nt
Filed under: uncultured bacterium
Lineage: Bacteria
Description: bacterial SSU rRNA
Rfam family: Bacterial small subunit ribosomal RNA
Source: RNAcentral
AAUAGAUACCCAGGUAGUCCACGCCCUAAACGAUGCGAACUGGAUGUUGGGUACAUUACGGUACUCAGUGUCGAAGCUAACGCGUUAAGUUCGCCGCCUGGGGAGUACGGUCGCAAGACUGAAACUCAAAGGAAUUGACGGGGGCCCGCACAAGCGGUGGAGUAUGUGGUUUAAUUCGAUGCAACGCGAAGAACCUUACCUGGCCUUGACAUCUGUCGAAUCCUGCAGAGAUGCGGGAGUGCCGCAAGGAACGACAAGACAGGUGCUGCAUGGCUGUCGUUAGCUCGUGUCGUGAGAUGUUGGGUUAAGUCCCGCAACGAGCGCAACCCUUGUCCCUAGUUGCCAACACUUCGGGUGGGAACUCUAGGGAGACUGCCGGUGACAAACCGGAGGAAGGUGGGGGAUGACGUCAAGUCCUCAUGGCCCUUACGGCCAGGGCUACACACGUACUACAAUGGUCGGUACAGAGGGUUGCCAAACCGCAAGGUGGAGCCAAUCCCAGAAAACCGAUCUCAGUCCGGAUUGGAGUCUGCAACUCGACU